GCGGUAUUUUGACCGUGCGAAGGUAGCAUAAUCAUUNGACUUUUUAAUAAAAAGUUUGUAUGAAGGGUUGAACGAGAAACAAACUGUCUCCACCAAAUUGGUUGAACUUAACUUUUAAGUGAAAAGGCUUAAAUGACCCAGAGGGACGAUAAGACCCUAUAAAGUUUUACAUUAUAAUCAUUACAAGGCAGUUUAAGUGGGGAGGGCCUGUUAUCGGUUAGGNUGUUUUGUUGGGGUGACAAGAAUAUAAAUGAUACAACUGUUCUUAUNNAAAAACAAAUAUGUUUGUUUCAGCGAUCUUUAAUUUAAGGUGGUAGAAUAAAUUACUUUAGGGNAUAACAGCNGUUAUUUUUUUAAANGAGUUCUUAUCGACAAAAAAGUUUGCNGACCUCGAUGUUGAAUUAAAGGNUUCU
Molecule: ribosomal RNA, 413 nt
Filed under: Ombrastacoides ingressus
Lineage: Eukaryota; Metazoa; Arthropoda; Malacostraca; Decapoda; Parastacidae
Description: partial 16S ribosomal RNA
Rfam family: Archaeal large subunit ribosomal RNA
Source: RNAcentral